CCUACGGGAGGCUGCAGUGAGGAAUAUUGGUCAAUGGGCGAGAGCCUGAACCAGCCAAGUCGCGUGAAGGAUGAAGGAUCUAUGGUUUGUAAACUUCUUUUAUAUGGGAAUAAAGUGAGGAACGUGUUCCUUUUUGUAUGUACCAUAUGAAUAAGCAUCGGCUAACUCCGUGCCAGCAGCCGCGGUAAUACGGAGGAUGCGAGCGUUAUCCGGAUUUAUUGGGUUUAAAGGGUGCGUAGGUGGUUAAUUAAGUCAGCGGUGAAAGUUCGUGGCUCAACCAUAACAUUGCCGGUGAAACUGGUUGACUUGAGUAUAUUAGAGGGAGGCGGAAUUCGUGGUGUAGCGGUGAAAUGCAUAGAUAUCGCGCAGAACUCCGAUUGCGAAGGCAGCUUACUGGACAAUAACUGACGCUGAGGCACGAAGGCGUGGGGAUCGAACAGGAUUAGAUACCCGGGUAGUC
This 460-nucleotide ribosomal RNA is filed under the name uncultured bacterium. RNAcentral's name for it is "partial 16S ribosomal RNA". It matches the Rfam family "Bacterial small subunit ribosomal RNA", at positions 338 to 795 of the family's 1533-position model. The record is from RNAcentral.